This 253-nucleotide ribosomal RNA is filed under the name uncultured bacterium. RNAcentral describes it as "partial 16S ribosomal RNA". It matches the Rfam family "Bacterial small subunit ribosomal RNA", at positions 524 to 776 of the family's 1533-position model. The record is from RNAcentral.
UACGUAGGGGGCAAGCGUUGUCCGGAUUUAUUGGGCGUAAAGAGCGUGUAGGCGGCUUUACAGGUCCGUUGUGAAAACUCGAGGCUCAACCUCGAGACGCCGGUGGAAACCGUAAAGCUAGAGUCCGGAAGAGGAAAGUGGAAUUCCUGGUGUAGCGGUGAAAUGCGCAGAUAUCAGGAAGAACACCCGUGGCGAAGGCGGCUUCCUGGCCUGUUCUUGACGCUGAGGCGCGAAAGCUAGGGGAGCAAACGGG